GCCAGGUGUGGUGGUGCACACCUGUAGUCCCAGCUACUCAGGAGGCUGAGGCAGGAAGAUUGCUUGAGCCCAGGAGGUUGAGGCUGUAGUGAGCUAUGAUCACAUCACUGCACUCCAGCCUGGACGACAGAGCAAGACCCUGUCUCAA
Molecule: non-coding RNA, 148 nt
Filed under: Gorilla gorilla gorilla (western lowland gorilla)
Lineage: Eukaryota; Metazoa; Chordata; Mammalia; Primates; Hominidae
Source: Rfam by way of RNAcentral